This 247-nucleotide ribosomal RNA is filed under the name uncultured bacterium. RNAcentral describes it as "partial 16S ribosomal RNA". It matches the Rfam family "Bacterial small subunit ribosomal RNA", at positions 523 to 769 of the family's 1533-position model. The record is from RNAcentral.
AUACGUAGGGAGCAAGCGUUAUCCGGAUUUAUUGGGUGUAAAGGGUGCGUAGACGGGCAAAUAAGUUAGUUGUGAAAUCCCUCGGCUUAACUGAGGAACUGCAACUAAAACUGUUAGUCUUGAGUGCGGGAGAGGAAAGUGGAAUUCCUAGUGUAGCGGUGAAAUGCGUAGAUAUUAGGAGGAACACCAGUGGCGAAGGCGACUUUCUGGACCGUAACUGACGUUGAGGCACGAAAGUGUGGGGAGC